GCCUUCGUAGUGUACUGGUCAGCACGCUCGACGCAUAACCGAGAGGUCCGUGGUUCAAUUCCCGGCGAAGGCA
RNAcentral lists this transfer RNA (73 nucleotides) under Stegodyphus mimosarum. It matches the Rfam family "tRNA". From Rfam's summary of the family: Transfer RNA (tRNA) molecules are approximately 80 nucleotides in length. Lineage: Eukaryota; Metazoa; Arthropoda; Arachnida; Araneae; Eresidae. The record is from Rfam by way of RNAcentral.